AUGUCUCAAUCUGUAGAAGAACGGACAAGAAUUAAAAACGAACGUUAUGAGUCUGGUGUAAUUCCAUAUGCAAAAAUGGGAUACUGGGACCCUAAUUAUGUAGUUAAAGAUACAGAUGUAUUAGCUUUAUUUCGUGUUAGUCCUCAACCAGGAGUUGACCCAAUAGAAGCUUCUGCUGCAGUUGCAGGUGAAUCAUCUACUGCUACUUGGACUGUUGUAUGGACAGAUUUAUUAACAGCUUGCGACCUAUAUAGAGCUAAAGCUUAUAAAGUAGAUGCUGUUCCAAAUACUACAGACCAGUAUUUUGCUUUUAUUGCAUAUGAUAUAGACUUGUUUGAGGAAGGCUCAAUUGCUAACUUAACAGCUUCAAUUAUUGGUAAUGUGUUUGGUUUUAAAGCAGUAAAAGCUUUACGAUUAGAAGAUAUGCGUAUACCAGUUGCUUACUUAAAAACUUUUCAAGGUCCUGCUACUGGAUUAGUUGUAGAACGUGAGCGUAUGGAUAAGUUUGGCCGUCCGUUUUUAGGUGCAACAGUAAAACCUAAAUUAGGUCUAUCUGGUAAGAACUAUGGUAGAGUUGUAUAUGAAGGUCUUAAAGGUGGUUUAGACUUUUUGAAAGAUGAUGAAAAUAUUAACUCUCAGCCUUUCAUGAGAUGGAAAGAAAGAUUCUUAUAUUCAAUGGAAGGUGUUAAUAGAGCAAUUGCAGCAAGUGGUGAAGUCAAAGGACAUUAUAUGAAUGUCACAGCUGCUACCAUGGAAGAUAUGUAUGAAAGAGCUGAAUUUGCUAAGCAGCUAGGCACAGUUAUCAUUAUGAUUGAUCUGGUAAUUGGUUAUACAGCAAUUCAAACUAUGGCUAUAUGGGCACGUAAAAAUGAUAUGAUUUUGCAUUUACACCGUGCUGGUAAUUCAACUUAUUCUCGUCAAAAAAUUCAUGGAAUGAAUUUUCGUGUUAUUUGUAAAUGGAUGCGUAUGGCUGGUGUAGAUCAUAUUCAUGCAGGAACUGUAGUUGGUAAAUUAGAAGGUGAUCCAUUAAUGAUAAAAGGAUUUUAUAAUACUUUAUUAUUAACGCAUCUAGAAAUUAAUUUACCUCAAGGUAUAUUUUUCGAACAAGAUUGGGCUUCUUUACGUAAAGUUACGCCUGUUGCUUCAGGUGGUAUCCAUUGUGGCCAAAUGCAUCAAUUAUUAGAUUAUCUAGGUAAUGAUGUUGUACUUCAAUUUGGAGGCGGUACAAUAGGUCAUCCAGAUGGUAUACAGGCUGGCGCAACAGCUAACCGUGUAGCAUUAGAAGCUAUGGUCUUAGCUCGUAAUGAAGGCCGUGAUUAUGUUCCAGAAGGACCACAAAUUUUACGUGAUGCUGCUAAAACAUGUGGUCCUUUGCAAACUGCUUUAGAUCUAUGGAAAGAUAUUAGUUUUAAUUAUACUUCUACAGAUACAGCUGAUUUUGUUGAAACUCCAACAGCUAAUGUAUAA
RNAcentral lists this ribosomal RNA (1467 nucleotides) under Gracilaria firma. RNAcentral's name for it is "large subunit ribosomal RNA". The record is from RNAcentral. Lineage: Eukaryota; Rhodophyta; Florideophyceae; Gracilariales; Gracilariaceae.